UUAAAUUGAAGAGUUUGAUCAUGGCUCAGAUUGAACGCUGGCGGCAGGCCUAACACAUGCAAGUCGAACGGUAACAGGUAGCAGCUUGCUGCUUUGCUGACGAGUGGCGGACGGGUGAGUAAUGUCUGGGAAACUGCCUGAUGGAGGGGGAUAACUACUGGAAACGGUAGCUACUACCGCAUAACGUC
RNAcentral lists this ribosomal RNA (188 nucleotides) under Escherichia coli. RNAcentral's name for it is "partial 16S ribosomal RNA". It matches the Rfam family "Bacterial small subunit ribosomal RNA", at positions 1 to 180 of the family's 1533-position model. The record is from RNAcentral. Lineage: Bacteria; Pseudomonadati; Pseudomonadota; Gammaproteobacteria; Enterobacterales; Enterobacteriaceae.